GGUAAAAUUCUGGCACCUAUCCACAGCCUGAACCUUGGAGAACACCUCCCUUUCAUAUGACUUCUGCAAAGGGCGUGUUUCAGCUCACAGGGACAAAGAGUCACUGCACCAGAGAACCAGAAAGAGGGAAGAAAUGUUUGUCCCCGGUGCUGAGAACACCAUCAGAUGAUCUUUCUGCCCAGAGCCACUAUCUGUCCCUAAAUAUCAGGUUUAUCAAUGCCUGGCCAUCUCUUUUCAAUUUGGGACAACUGCCAGCGACCACUAGCUAGCUCCAGAAUUCCUCAGGUGUUUCAGGAAACUGCCGCAACUUUGUAGAGCACAGUUUGAAAGCUACUGCUGAAGAAAUAUGUCACCUUGAAGGCUUUUUAAACACGGGAUUUGCAAGAUAGGGUUUGCAUUUUAGAAACAUUAUUCUGCUUGCUACACUACUGAGUUUGGAUGAGGGAGACUUGAAGGCAAGGGAGCUCUGUUAUGAAAUAACUACACUUUUCUUAUAGAAGAAGACUAUAAUAGACUGUAUCAAAAAUGUCUACGUUCCAUAGCAUUGGUGGAACCAUGCAUUACGUCUGAGGACAAGGACGGGAACCUUCUGUGGCGUGCUGUCAACAGCUUUAAAUAGGCAUUGAGUUUGAAGAUAGAGCACAUGAAGGGCAUGUUACAGCAGAGCUGAAGGGAGAACAGUUGAUGGGGUUUGGUGAUCAACUGAUUUGGAGAGUAAAGCAAUGAGAAGAAUGACAUUCAUGAUUUGGUAUGAAUUAACAGAAAGGGCACUGAUAGGGGGAUCAAUUCCUUAUUUCUACCAUGAGACAGGCAAGAUAAAGAAGAGUUGAUAAUUUCUGCACCCAUCUUACUUCCUGCCCACCACAGAGCAGUUCACCCAGUGGCCUGGUUGGAUGUUAGCCAUUGGCAGGGCAAGAAAUCCAACAAUCGACUGUUGAAGAAUUCCAGAGAAUCAGUCUGGAUCUCUUUCACACAGACAAAGUCUUGUUCCAGCUAAUCUUAGGCUCCUAUGCGAGAGGAAAGAUGCUGGGAGGCCAGCACGGUGGCUCACACCCAUAAUCCCAGCACUUUGGGGGGCCAAGGUGGGCAGAUCCCUCGAGCCCAGGAAUUCAAAACCAGCCCGGGCAACAUAGUAAUAACCCCCAUCUCUACAAAAAAUUAAGAAAAAUAAUUAGCCAGAUGUGUUGGUGCAUGCCUUAGUCCUAACUACUCCGCAAGCUGAGCUGAGAGGAUCACUUGAGCCCAGGAGGUCAAGGUUGCAAAGAGCCAUGAUCCUGUGCCUAGGCAACAGAACGAAAAAGAUGUGAGAAAUACUCAAAGUCUUGGUCUUUACCCAGAAGAAUCAGAGCAAGGAAAAGAAAGAUCUCUUUCCCCAGUUUGACAUCCAUCUUCCUAAAUUUGGACAAAGGGAUCCUAAACCACAGCGUCCUACAGUGAGUCAAAAUGCCCAUGCACUGAUUCUCAUCUCACUGGAGGUACAGACACGGCUCACAGGCUUAAGCGUCUUGCUGUAGGUCAUACGGCAGGUUAAUGACAACACUGGGGCAAGAACACAGGUUACGCUCGUCCUGGGGAAGGCUCCCACACCAAGCUACACACUUCUGCAAUGCUGUUCCAGAUGUGAAAAUCCGCUAAGACAAAUAGGUCACAAAAACACCAUGGGAAACGAUGAUGUCUUUUCCUUUUUGUUAUCUUGAUAAAGCUUCAUACAUGGAUGAUAAAAUGGAAAUUUCAGUUGAGGAACUAAUAAAUCAACAGAUGUCUUACUCCACAACGAGGUGCAAGAUCUUGAGGCUGGAUUUAGAAAGAGGAAGAGAAGACCAAUUGCACAGCUCAUCACCCCUCACCCAUCUGAUGAUAUGAAAGGUUUGAAGGAAGCCAGAGCUGGAGCAAGAUUUUCCUCAGAUGAGUUUUGAUGAACUACAAAGAAUGAAGAUGCUCUCCCUUGUCAUCCCCAGUCAAAGAAAAGGCACUUUAAAGAAAUCACUCACGAGCCAGAUAUUGUGGUUGUAUUUUGGUGGACACAGUGAAGUCACGUCUGGCUCGCUCCGCAAAUACUGGGAGGGUGAGAAGUGGGAGGCUGACCUUUGAGGAAGCACGUGGGAUUUUUCCCCGCGGAACAGACGUGAGCCAUGAACACGGGAGCAAAAGUGUGCUAGAGUAACUCCCGUCAAAGAGAGACCCUUACUAGGGCAAGAAGACCUUGAUCAAAGCAUACCCAGAUGCCGAGGUUCUGAGGAAGGAAAUAAGUGACCACCAGGCAUGGUGCUCUGAUUAUUAAGCUAGUUUCUCAGCUCCAAACUCAACCUUCACUGCUUAGCCUUGUCACGGUGGGAAGGCUGGGAGAGGCCAAACCACCUUUCCCCUUUGCCAGGGCUCCCUGAUCAGUUCUGCCUAUGUGCUACUAAGGGAAACAGUAAGGCUGGAGGAGGGAAAGGGGACACCACCCUUCUCUUUGCGCACUGCUUAUGCCAGCAGCAUCCGAGCAAUACCGCUUGCCCUGUAGUGCUUCUUGAGUCGGAUUUCAGUUCAGUGUCUGGGUUUUUUAACAUUUCUAUAACCAUUCUCCCUCCUCAAUAGCACUCCCACAUCAGAAGCUGAGUCCCAGCUCCCUGACUUCUCCAGAUCCUAGAACUAUCAGCACCAGCAGCAGCACACAUUCCAUUCCUGUGGGGCUUGGCUCUGUGAGGCUCCUCUCAGCUCCCAGAUUCUCCCAACACAACUUCUUUCCUUUGUUCCCCCAGACUUCGAGCAGGUCAUUUCUUGCUAUGCCUGUCUAACCCCUUCCCUAAAUUCAAUUCUCUCUGUUAAGAUAACCAGUAUGUUUCUGCUUUCCAGUCUGGAUUCUGAUUGAUACACAAAAGCUGCAUUCCCACAUCAAGGGAACUCCGAGUGUUCACCCUCCGUGGUAAGGGGAGACUGGGAGACCCCACAAAAGCAUCCCAAGAGAGGAAGAGUCCCUUUACACACCUGCUGCCCCGUGUGUGGAUGCCCACUGAGCACGGAAGUUGUCAAGGGUAUUACAGUCAUAGCAGAGCAGAGGACCUUAGCAGCCCUAGGCAGAGAGGGGCUGAAGAAGCCAACCAAGGCUUCAGGUGUGGUUGGAGAAAGAAGUCUCAGCUUCAAUCAAGUUUUCAAGUUGGAUUAAUACAUGGGAAUGAACUGUUACUUAUCUGCUAUAUUGUUUUUGUGAUAUCAAGUAACCUGAUUUUUUACAUGUCCAAAAAAACAACAACAAAAAAGUAUUGAAGCCUACCUUAAAUUUCAUCUAGGGACAAAAGGAGGAACUAGCCCACCAAGCAGGUUUAAAGGGAGUGUCGGACACAAAAAUGACAUGCCCCAUAUUGCAGUCUAGAAGGAACAACACGGUGAAUUGUCUACUGCAGGAUACCAGAAUAGAGAGAUGAUUAUUACUCUUAUUGUGCAGAUGAGAAAACUGAUGUCUAGAGAGAAUGAAUAAAUCCCAUCUUUCACAGCUGGACACUUCACUCUGUCUCGAUUACUACAUGGUGAAUUGAAGUUCCAGUAGAGAGGGAGUUGAGCUGAUACUGAGGAGGUAAAUACCCAUCACUGUAUACAUCUACUUCUUGGAAUUUGCAAGGGAACCAGUCAACAGAUUUUUCAAGCCUUAUAAGUUUAUCUGCCUGAGAAGUUCACCAGCUACAUAACAUCCUGGACUCUGGAGCCCAAGAGAUGUGUAGUUUCCAUUUUGGAGCCAUUUUCUUUGAUAAAUAAGUAGUGAGGCUGCCAUUCUUGUCAAAGUUGAGGACCACAACCUUACUCAUGAAACUGAAAGAUUGUUUGUUAUGAGGAGUUCUGUUUGAGCCAUACAAGCAAUAUAUCCUUUUUAAAGAAAUGUAUCCGGAAUCUUAGGUGUUCAUUGCUCCAAGCCAUGUGCAGAAUAAAAAGAAAACAAAAAACAAAAAAC
This 3928-nucleotide long non-coding RNA is filed under the name Homo sapiens (human). RNAcentral describes it as "long non-coding RNA NONHSAT181204.1". Lineage: Eukaryota; Metazoa; Chordata; Mammalia; Primates; Hominidae. The record is from RNAcentral.